Tribolium castaneum (red flour beetle) is the source of this 1411-nucleotide RNA transcript. RefSeq lists it as uncharacterized. The record is from RefSeq and is a predicted model, not a curated record. NCBI's taxonomy places the organism in Eukaryota, Metazoa, Arthropoda, Insecta, Coleoptera, Tenebrionidae. The transcript has 2 exons.
GUAUUAAGUGCGCGAAAUGAGUGUUUUUUUAAUGGCGCCUGAGAAUGUUAUUUUAGUCGAGACCGCCAGGUCGAGACCUAAAAGACAUUCGAAGGCGCCAUUAAAACAUGAAUUUCGCCACGAAAUACAAACAACGUUUUUUCUACAGCCUCCAGAUGAAGAAAAAAGUAACAGAAAUUAGUUGGAACAAAAUGGUCUGAUAAAUCGAGUUGCUUGCAUGGUUACGAUGAUAAAUAAAAGUGAUAGUUGCGAAAAAUUUGUCACAAUAGGUAUUUUUGUUGAAGAAGUGUGAUGGAUUUUAGCAGCGAAAACGAAAUAGAUGCAAUUGCAAGCGCGGCAGUGUCGAAUCUUUUGCCUGCUAAAUCAAGACCGCAGUACGAAAAAACGUAUCUUCAGUUUCGGCAGUGGUGUUCUAUGAAAAAGAUUGAUCAAGUAACGGAAAAUGUUUUGUUGGCGUAUUUGGAAGAAAAGUCUACCACCUUAAAGCCACCAACACUCUGGGCCCUUUAUGCGAUGUUGAAAGCCACCUUAAACGUUAAAGAGAAUAUCGAUACACAAGCAAGAAGUCGCAAAUUUUAGACAAAGAAGACAUUAGCAAGUUUAUUAAUGAAGCAGAUGACAAGAUAUAUUUACUGAUGAAGGUAAACUUAUCAUAUUAGUGUAAUACAAAUCAAAACAACUCGUUUUAUUUAUAGACUGUGCUAAUUUUGGGUAUAUCGGGAGCCCUUCGACGUGAAGAAUUAGUUAAAAUGAAGCUAACUGACAUAGAAGAUAAACAGUCUGUCUUAAUUGUGAAGGUGCCUGAUACAAAAACCCACUGCGAACGAAUAUUUACUGUUUCAAAUUUAGAAAAUAUAGAAAUUGUCAGAAAAUAUAGAGCUUUGCGGCCUCCACGGGCGACUAGUGACCGUUUAUUUUUAAAGUAUACCAACGGAAAAUGUGUGAAUCAAAAUGUUGGAAUUAACAAAAUCGGAGAGAUACCAAGUUUGAUUGCAAAGUGGCUUAACAAAGACGAACCUAAAAAAUAUACUGGUCACUGCUUCAGAAGAAGCUCUGCCACUCUUUUGGCGAAUGCUGGAGGUGAUCUAAUUUCAAUUAAACGUCAUGGGGGCUGGAGAAGCAGCACAGUGGCAGAAAGUUACAUCGAGGACUCUUUGAAUAAUAAAAUUGAAAUUGCCAAUAAAAUUCAACCUUCUUCCUCCACAGAAGAAAACAAAAUCACUCAACCUUCUACAUCGGCUUCUUUUAAUGGCGAAAAUAACUUUCAUUUACAAGCGUCUUCACUCAGGCCUCUGGGGAUAAACGGGGGCACGUUUUCGUCAUGCACAUUUAAUUUUCAUAUGUCAAAGUAAAUAUCUAUUAUUAUUGUUUUGUAAUAUUGUUCUGUAUAAUUAUAAAACCUUUAAAACUA